GCUCUGGAGCAUAUGGUGGUGGUGGAGCAACCGGUAGCGCGGGUUUAGGAGCUUCCUUGGGCUUCUCAGGUUCUUUGGGCUUUUCAGGUUGUUUGGGCUUCUCGGGUUCCUUGGGCUUUUCUGGUUCUUUAGGCUUUUCGGGUUCCUUGGGUUUCGCAGGUUCUUUUGGUUUUUCCGGUUCUUUCGGCUUCUCAGGUUCCUUAGGCUUCACAGGCUCUUUGGGCUUUUCGGGUUGCUUGGGCUUUUCUGGGUCUUUAGGUUUCUUAGGCACUUUGGGCUUCUCGGACUCCUUAGGCUUCUCAUGUUCUUUAGGUUUUGCGGGCUCCUUGGGCUUUUCGGGCUCUUUGGACUUCUCGGGUUCUUUGGGAUUUUCAGGAGCCUUAGGCUUUUGAGGUUCUUUGAUCUCGAUGCUCUUGAUCACUCCCCCUCCUUUGCAACAUAAUUUGUCACGAAUUCUUUCAGGAUUGCAACACAAUACAGUAAUGGUGAUAGUAUUGGCCUUCUCAUCAUACACCUGAUCUUGAAUUUCUUUUGUCCAAAAUAUUUAAUACCACACACCAAAAAGGAUAAAGGAGAAAAAAGAACAUCUCAGUUCUCAUCCAUUCAUAUUCUUGUCCUUAAGUAGUAUCCUCAUUAUUCAUUGAAAUAUAAAAAUGAAAAAGUGAAAUUUCAAAGGAAAAUUUUGCCGUA
This 690-nucleotide long non-coding RNA is filed under the name Nicotiana benthamiana. RNAcentral's name for it is "long non-coding RNA (NBEN_LNC022806)". Lineage: Eukaryota; Viridiplantae; Streptophyta; Magnoliopsida; Solanales; Solanaceae. The record is from RNAcentral.